GAUGAAGAACGUAGCGAAAUGCGAUACGUAGUGUGAAUUGCAGAAUUCAGUGAAUCAUCGAAUCUUUGAACGCACAUUGCGCCCCUUGGUAUUCCAUGGGGCAUGCCUGUUCGAGCGUCAUUUGUACCUUCAAGCUUUGCUUGGUGUUGGGUGUUUGUCUCGCCUCCGCGUGUAGACUCGCCUCAAAACAAUUGGCAGCCGGCGUAUUGAUUUCGGAGCGCAGUACAUCUCGCGCUUUGCACUCACAACGACGACGUCCAAAAGUACAUUUUUACACUCUUGACCUCGGAUCAGGUAGGGAUACCCGCUGAACUUAAGCAUAUCAAUAAGCGGAGGA
This 337-nucleotide unclassified non-coding RNA is filed under the name soil metagenome. RNAcentral's name for it is "partial contains 5.8S ribosomal RNA, internal transcribed spacer 2, and large subunit ribosomal RNA". The stretch from base 1 to 120 matches the Rfam family "5.8S ribosomal RNA", at positions 35 to 154 of the family's 154-position model. The record is from RNAcentral.